This is a long non-coding RNA of Notothenia coriiceps (black rockcod), 519 nucleotides long. RefSeq lists it as uncharacterized. The record is from RefSeq and is a predicted model, not a curated record. Lineage: Eukaryota; Metazoa; Chordata; Actinopteri; Perciformes; Nototheniidae. The transcript has 2 exons.
UUGACGGCCGGGGAAGAAGUGGAGAUGGUGAACAGCUUUCUGUCACGUUGUGCCAUCACAACUAAGUACAUGACAAAAUCAGCUCGGAAUGACAUGUUGACUGUCCAUGCAAUGGGGUGGAACAGACGGAAGCACGAAAACCUUCAUUUUGUGUUGGCCAAGAGAUAUGUCAAGGUAAUUGGCCAUGUAAGCAUGGACAGCAGGAGUCCUGUGUCAGUACCAGCUUUCCGUGAGCAGGCCUUCUCUCACACUCACACACCUACCUACAAAUGCAAAGUGUUAACGUUUAGGGUUGACAGCAUUAUAUUGAGUUAUUACGGUUUUAUCUGAGUUAUUAUCUGCCGUUCAGAAGCAGAUCUCUCCCUUCCCUGUCACUUUGCGAGUGCAGUAAAGCCUGCCUCCAGUGCUGCAGGAUCUGCAUUCUGAUUGGCUAAAUCACUUCUGUGUUGAAAACUCUGUGUAACGAUUGGCCUGGAACUUGUGUGUUGUUUACCCUUUGUGAACUGUGAUACAUAUGCG